UAAAGACUAGGACUAGCUGCCUGAGAAACAGUUUUUAUCCAAAUGUGAUUUUGGUUAUAAACGCAGUGUAAGUGUACUCUCUGGGAGAGUACAUUGUAUUUACGGUAAUUAUGGGGGAGUUUUUAGGGGGUUAACCAGGCUGGGAUAGCAGCUUUUGAAUGUCUGAUGUGGUUUUUUCCAAUUUUGUUGUUCUGUAUGGGACAAUGACAACAAAGAUUAUCGUAUCGUUAAAAAAAAGUCACCCUGGCCCCACUCCCCAAUUUCAUUCAGCGUUGCGUAGAGUCGCCGGGUCUAAUGGUGCAAAACGAUGGAACCUGAGAAGGCAAGGAGAAGAACCUUCCUCUCUGGGAGAGCUGAGCAGCCAUUAGCCUUCCUGACCAGACGCCUCGAUUUCUCUUCUCUUCGAGAUCUCUUGACCUUAUUAUGGGAGGGCUGCAGCCAGACUGACCCAGCCAAGGGUUUCUGGGAGCUGGUUUACUGAGUUAAAUCUGAGGUCCCAAGUCCAAGCACCGUUUGCAACAGAAGCCUCCAGAUAACCUCAGGUGCACCUCUUGGGUCCUGUAGCGUUGCAGGUCCAGCAGAGAGCAAAGACUUUGGCCGGGCUUGGGUCACCCGGACCGUGUGAACACAAGAAUUAAAGGACUUUCCUGCUGUUUGGCCUGCCUCAGAUGCUGCCUUCUUGGCUCAUCCUUCUCGUUAGAGCAGAACGGGGUUUUCGGAGAGAGAAACUAAGGCAUGGAACCAAGGGCAGGACCAGGGAGCUGCUCCCAAGAGCACCAAGUGCACGUGGUCUGGUUUAUCGGGGCAAUUCAUGGCAGAAAAAGUUGGCCGGUGGAACAGAGUCGUCGUCAGGAGGUCAAGAGGUAGGCCCUUAGUUAGUGGCUGGGUGGCAGGAGGGCUUUGACAGGGCUGUUGCGGUGUUUCCCCCCCAGCGGUAUUAACACAGAGGCAGUGUGGUGCAGCGGUUAGAGUGUCGGGCCAAGACCUGGGGACCAGGCUUUGAAUCCCCACUUGGCCAUGGAGAGCCUUGGGUUCCUGCCACUCAGCCAACCUACCUCACAGGGUUGUUGUGUUAUUAAACAAGGGGGGGGGGACCAUGAGCUUCCUGGAGAAAAGGGUGCAAUAAAUACAGGAGCACAUGAGAGUUUUGUGACGUCUUCGAGGCUGUAACACGUUUGCUAUGGCAUAAAUUUCCCUAAGCCACAGAAGACUCCUUCCAGGAUCGUUGGCUGGAGCCUGGCGCUGAUGACGCCAAGGUUGCAGGUUCGAUUCCUGUAUGGGACAGCUGCAUAUUCUUGCAAUUCUGUGAUUCUAAGUCUUUUAAGGAGUCCCAAGUCUCUUUUCCUUGUUUUUGCUGGAAACUGCUAACUCACAGAUAGUACUUUCCGACAUUAAGAGCUGCUCAACUGUGGAACAGGCUGCCUUGGAAGACAGUGGGCUCUCCUCCAUCUCUCGCCCUGAUCUGGCCACAGUGAUCCACGCGACGGUCACCUCCAGGCUUGAUUAUUGUAACUUGCUCU
Podarcis muralis (Common wall lizard) is the source of this 1520-nucleotide non-coding RNA. NCBI's taxonomy places the organism in Eukaryota, Metazoa, Chordata, Lepidosauria, Squamata, Lacertidae. The record is from RefSeq and is a predicted model, not a curated record.